AGAGUUUGAUCCUGGCUCAGGAUGAACGCUGGCGGCGUGCUUAACACAUGCAAGUCGAACGAACCUUCGGGUUAGUGGCGGACGGGUGAGUAACGCGUGAGAAUCUGCCCUCAGGAGGGGGACAACAGCUGGAAACGGCUGCUAAUACCCCAUAUGCCGAGAGGUGAAAUGAAUUUCGCCUGAGGAUGAGCUCGCGUCUGAUUAGCUAGUUGGUGAGGUAAGAGCUCACCAAGGCAUCGAUCAGUAGCUGGUCUGAGAGGAUGAUCAGCCACACUGGGACUGAGACACGGCCCAGACUCCUACGGGAGGCAGCAGUGGGUAAUUUUCCGCAAUGGGCGAAAGCCUGACGGAGCAACGCCGCGUGAGGGAUGAAGGCCUCUGGGCUGUAAACCUCUUUUCUCAAGGAAGAAGAUCUGACGGUACUUGAGGAAUAAGCCACGGCUAAUUCCGUGCCAGCAGCCGCGGUAAUACGGGAGUGGCAAGCGUUAUCCGGAAUUAUUGGGCGUAAAGCGUCCGCAGGCGGCCCAUCAAGUCUGCUGUUAAAAAGUGGAGCUUAACUCCAUCAUGGCAGUGGAAACUGUUGGGCUAGAGUGUGGUAGGGGCAGAGGGAAUUCCCGGUGUAGCGGUGAAAUGCGUAGAUAUCGGGAAGAACACCAGUGGCGAAGGCGCUCUGCUGGGCCAUAACUGACGCUCAUGGACGAAAGCCAGGGAGCGAAAGGGAUUAGAUACCCCUGUAGUCCUGGCCGUAAACGAUGACACUAGUGUCGGGGGAGUCGACCCCUCCGUGUCGUAGCCAACGCGUUAAGUGUUCCGCCUGGGGAGUACGCACGCAAGUGUGAAACUCAAAGGAAUUGACGGGGGCCCGCACAAGCGGUGGAGUAUGUGGUUUAAUUCGAUGCAACGCGAAGAACCUUACCAGGGUUUGACAUCCUGCGAAUUUCUGGGAAACCGGAAAGUGCCUUCGGGAACGCAGUGACAGGUGGUGCAUGGCUGUCGUCAGCUCGUGUCGUGAGAUGUUGGGUUAAGUCCCGCAACGAGCGCAACCCACGUCUUUAGUUGCCAGCAUUUAGUUGGGCACUCUAGAGAGACCGCCGGUGAUAAACCGGAGGAAGGUGUGGAUGACGUCGAGUCAUCAUGCCCCUUGCAUCCUGGGCUACACACGUACUACAAUGCUACGGACAAAGGGCAGCAAACUCGCGAGAGCUAGCAAAUCCCAUAAACCGUGGCUCAGUUCAGAUCGUAGGCUGCAACUCGCCUACGUGAAGGAGGAAUCGCUAGUAAUCGCAGGUCAGCAUACUGCGGUGAAUACGUUCCCGGGCCUUGUACACACCGCCCGUCACACCAUGRUDARUUGGCCACGCCCGAAGCCGUUACUCCAACCCUUGUGGARRAGACGUCGAAGGUGGGGCUGAUGACUGGGGUGAAGUCGUAACAAGGUAACC
RNAcentral lists this ribosomal RNA (1442 nucleotides) under uncultured cyanobacterium. RNAcentral describes it as "bacterial SSU rRNA". It matches the Rfam family "Bacterial small subunit ribosomal RNA". Lineage: Bacteria; Bacillati; Cyanobacteriota. The record is from RNAcentral.